This is a long non-coding RNA of Eublepharis macularius, 607 nucleotides long. RefSeq lists it as uncharacterized. The record is from RefSeq and is a predicted model, not a curated record. The transcript has 3 exons. NCBI's taxonomy places the organism in Eukaryota, Metazoa, Chordata, Lepidosauria, Squamata, Eublepharidae.
CCGCCGUGCCUGCCCAGUCCCUGGCUUGACCAGACCAAUGCCAGUGCUCCUUUGUGAGCGGCGCAGCGUGUAAAGGUAUUGGACCGGGACCUGGGAGCAGGGCGUUCAAAUCUCCACUUGCCACGAGAGAAGCACGUGGUGGUCCUGGGCCAGUCGCUCUUUCUCAGCAUUUUGAACCUCACAAGGUUGUUCUGAGGGAAAAUGGAAGAUGCGAAAGAACCGUGGGCGUCCCCCAGAGCUCCUUGGAGGAAAGGAAAUUUGGACAGGUGGAAGUAAACACACACUCUCGCUACUUGCCAGAGGAGCUAAAAGAUCUUGCAAAGCAACUUAAAGAACACUGGAAGAUUCCGCACGUGGUCUGAGAUAGUAACUCUCCUCCGCCAGCAAAUCCUGCGGCAGAAUUCCCAAGCUCCGGCACACACACGUACACAUGCACCAUAAAGAAAUGAAUGGAUGGAACGAAAGUGCAAAAUAAGAACUUAAAUAUGAAUUAGCAGGACACAAACUGAUAGAAUGAGAAAGGAAAAUGAGUAUUAGAACUAAUCAAAGUAGACCUACAGCAAUAAUAGGAGGAUAGCAGCAGAAGGAAUAUAUAACUAUGAUUGUA